This 526-nucleotide ribosomal RNA is filed under the name Melanohalea lobulata. RNAcentral describes it as "eukaryotic LSU rRNA". It matches the Rfam family "Eukaryotic large subunit ribosomal RNA", at positions 112 to 650 of the family's 3401-position model. The record is from RNAcentral. Lineage: Eukaryota; Fungi; Ascomycota; Lecanoromycetes; Lecanorales; Parmeliaceae.
AAUUUGAAAUCUGGCCCUUUCGGGGUCCGAGUUGUAAUUUGUAGAGAGUGCUUCGGGGGAGACUGCGGUCUAAGUCCAUUGGAACAUGGCGUCCCAGAGGGUGAGAAUCCCGUAUGUGACCGCGGCUCGAGCCCAUGUGAAGCCUCUUCGACGAGUCGAGUUGUUUGGGAAUGCAGCUCUAAAUGGGUGGUAAAUUUCAUCUAAAGCUAAAUACUGGCUGGAGACCGAUAGCGCACAAGUAGAGUGAUCGAAAGAUGAAAAGCACUUUGGAAAGAGAGUUAAACAGUACGUGAAAUUGUUGAAAGGGAAGCGCUUGCAACCAGACCUGCCCGUAGGCGAUCAACCGCUGUUCUCAGCGGUGCACUCGUUCUGCGAUCAGGCCAGCAUCGGUUCUGGCGGUCGGAUAAAGGCCUUGGGAAUGUAGCUCCCCUUCGGGGGAGUCUUAUAGCCCUCGGUGCAAUGCGGCCAGCCGGGACCGAGGACCGCGCUUCGGCUAGGAUGCUGGCGUAAUGGUUGUAAGCGACCC